UACGGAGGAUGCGAGCGUUAUCCGGAAUCAUUGGGUUUAAAGGGUCCGUAGGCGGUUGUGUAAGUCAGUGGUGAAAUCUUUCAGCUCAACUGAAAAAUGGCCAUUGAAACUGCAUAACUUGAGUUAUUGUGAAGUAAGUAGGAUGUGUAGUGUAGCGGUGAAAUGCUUAGAGAUUACACAGAAUACCGAUUGCGAAGGCAGCUUACUAACGAUACACUGACGCUGAGGGACGAAAGCGUGGGGAGCGAACAGGAUUAGAUACCCGGGUAGU
Molecule: ribosomal RNA, 271 nt
Filed under: uncultured bacterium
Lineage: Bacteria
Description: partial 16S ribosomal RNA
Rfam family: Bacterial small subunit ribosomal RNA
Source: RNAcentral